This 251-nucleotide ribosomal RNA is filed under the name Klebsiella pneumoniae subsp. pneumoniae KPNIH20. RNAcentral describes it as "partial 23S ribosomal RNA". It matches the Rfam family "Bacterial large subunit ribosomal RNA", at positions 2684 to 2925 of the family's 2925-position model. Lineage: Bacteria; Pseudomonadati; Pseudomonadota; Gammaproteobacteria; Enterobacterales; Enterobacteriaceae. The record is from RNAcentral.
CGAGAGGACCGGAGUGGACGCAUCACUGGUGUUCGGGUUGUCAUGCCAAAUGGCACUGCCCGGUAGCUAAAUGCGGAAGAGAUAAGUGCUGAAAAGCAUCUAAGCACGAAACUUGCCCCGAGAUGAGUUCUCCCUGAGACUAUAAGUCUCCUGAAGGAACGUUAAAGACGAUGACGUUGAUAGGCCGGGUGUGUAAGCGCAGCGAUGCGUUGAGCUAACCGGUACUAAUGAACCGUGAGGCUUAACCUUAC